UGUCGAGUAACUUCUUUUUUUUUAAUUAUUUUUUAAAUUUUGUUCCGUGUGUUUCUUUUCCCAUGAUUAUAAUGCGAAGGAUUCCAUUCUUGCUUCAUCAUGUGAAAAGAGAUGAAUUUGGGUAUUGAUGGAUGGUUUCAUAGAAAGAGAGGAAGGAGGUUUUCUCUUUUUUUUUUCCCCCUAUAUUUCCUUUUUUUUAAAUAUUUCCCCUACUUUUUGCCCUUUUAUAGUCUUCUUUCCUCGGUCGUUAAAUAACUUUGUGGACUUGGUUUGAGUAUGAGCACUCUGUUGUUGGUCUAUUCAUAAAAAAGAAUUCUAUUGGAGCAAGAACAGAGAGUUCUCACGUAGCGGCAACCUUAAAUAAUCUUUUUUGCCCUUUUCAUCUGGCGUCUCUCUUUGUUUCAAUUUUAAUAAUUGUGUAUUUCACGUGAAUUGGGAAAUUUGGUGUUGUUGGACAUAUUCAUGUUUCAAAACAAAGCAGUUACUAUAAGUGGCAAUCAAAGGGUAAAGAAGGGGAAGAAAGCAAAGAUAGCUCUCCUGGAAUCUUCCGAAGAAAAUCUCAGAAUUAGGAAGAGUAGGAGACAUUUGAGUUCCAUUAGCUACCUGCCAUGGCCAUGCCAUGGAGCUCUGCCAUCUACCUGAUGAAAAUAGUGUGGAUGAUCUUGAGAGGCUGGAUCUCUUCAUGUCUGAUGGUCGCCAACGAGAUUGCUCGUGCACUUAGAACUGGAGACAUCGGCCUACUGCCUGUAGGCUGACCAUCCCAGCCUUCCCAAGUGUUGAGUAGGUCUCCAUCUCUCUCGCUCCUUGCGAUCCUUUUUUGCUCUUUACUUAUUGAAUAGAAUCUUGUCGAAUCUCUUGUUAUUAUAGUUGAGUGAAUUAUGUAGUCCUUUAGUCUUGUUUAACUCACUCUCUUGUUAAUCUUUUAUUGUUGGGUUGGAUUUUCUUCAGAAGUUACCAACCAAACACAGUAUGUUGCCUAAUGAUUUCCUCUAAGAGAUAGAGAGAAAGAUAGAGAGAGAGAGGAAUUUGCUAACCAUGUCAGCUUUUUGUUUAAUAUAAAGCAUCAAAUGAUUUGAUUAGCAUGCCCGAGUAGAUGCAUGAUUGUUGA
Non-coding RNA from Elaeis guineensis (African oil palm), 1108 nucleotides. NCBI's taxonomy places the organism in Eukaryota, Viridiplantae, Streptophyta, Magnoliopsida, Arecales, Arecaceae. The record is from RefSeq and is a predicted model, not a curated record.